CUGACUUUCGUCUCUGGAAAGAAGGUUCGGCCGCCGAAGGUGCCGCCGAACUUGCCUGACUUUCGUCUCUGUCUGGGACUUUCGGCCGCCGAAGGUGCCGCCGAAAGUGCCCUGCCCAGCCUUUUCUUGGGUGUUUUCUAUGCAUGCUUCUAUGAUGUUUUAGGGGGUUUUUGGGUAGUCUUUUAUGAGUUGUUUAGAGUAUGUUUGGCACCUCACUGGAGUCCACCUGUGUAGGAUCGGACCCGAGGAACCGAGGUGUUUAGUAGUGUCAGCCGUUUCAAAGUCGGCCCAGAGCUAGUCUCAGGUGAGUGGAACUGAACCUUAUGUUUUAAAAUAAAUCAAAUGUUAAGCAUGUUCAUGCAUCAUAAAAUGCCAUGAUAUGUAGUAGGUUGUAUUGCAUUAGUAUUCACGAAUAUGAUGCAUUGCAUAAUAUGUUGUUGAUGUGGAUGAAUCUUGAAUGAUCCUUUAGCCCUCAAUACGAUAUGAUAUGAUAUGAUAUGCCAUGGUAUGAUAUGAGAUAGAAAGACCAGGUCGCCCCUGGCACUAUGUUAUGUAAGCGAACACUAGGUGAGGCCUAAUCGCCCCUGGUGUAGUUGGACAUGUUAUGAUAUGAGUUAAGUAAGCGAAUACUAGGUGUGGCCUCAUCGCCCCUGGUAUAGUUGGACGUAUUACGACACGUAGAGGGCUAUGGGUGACAAAUUCAUCCUUGAUGUGAUAUGUUUGUGAAGUGAUGCAUUCCAUGAUGGCAUAUGUUAAAAUGAACUGUUUUCUUUAUGGUUUCUGCUCACUGGGCUUUAUAGCUCACCCCUCUCCCC
This 815-nucleotide long non-coding RNA is filed under the name Manihot esculenta (cassava). RNAcentral describes it as "long non-coding RNA (MESC_LNC012929)". The record is from RNAcentral. Lineage: Eukaryota; Viridiplantae; Streptophyta; Magnoliopsida; Malpighiales; Euphorbiaceae.